Molecule: long non-coding RNA, 1392 nt
Filed under: Nicotiana benthamiana
Lineage: Eukaryota; Viridiplantae; Streptophyta; Magnoliopsida; Solanales; Solanaceae
Description: long non-coding RNA (NBEN_LNC041125)
Source: RNAcentral
GAAUACACAAAAGGAUGCAAGCGAGGAAUCGACAAAAUAAACCACACACCGGGUGCUUAGAUAGAAAACAUAAAAGGGUGUACAGAGUAAAAAAUAAAAAAAAAUGAGGUCGGGAGGUGCCAACUCCCGAUGGAAUAACCUGGAAAUAUGCUUUGGUUCGCCCAAUAUCAACUACCGUUAGCUCUUGCCCACUUUGUCCUAUGUUUCUUUGCUCUUCGAGUCCAAAUGCCGAAAGCUCUCCUUGUCCGUCACAGUUUGUACAUGAAAAUCACACACACAAAAAACGUAUAGAGAGAACACGAAAAAAAAUGUAUUGCACCUUCCUUUUGGCGUCUUCUUUGACACUUGCGAGAUAAAUGAACAGUUUUGAACUUGCUCAACCAAAUGAAAUUUAAGCUUUCUUAUGAAAAAGAGUUAAAAGAAAAUAUGGCUCAAGGUCCAAGAAAAUGAAGCAGAAGAAAGAACCCUUUUGAGGAGAAACGAUGGAGAACGACAAUAUUUUUGAAAAAAAGCAAUGCCUCUUUCGAAAUCAGAUCCAAAUUCCAUACCCAAAAAUAUUCUAAACUUCUUCCACAGAUUUGCUUCCUCUAAUAAAUAUAUGUGUGUGCAUAUAAACAAACACAUGGACCUCUAAUAAAUCCUAUUAUGGAAGAAAAUUGCAAAAAAGAAAAUUAACAAAAUUUUAAAAAAUCGAAGAACACCUCAAAUUAUAAAAUUUGCUUGAAAAGUAACUUAACGACUACAAAUUGUUUGUUUUACUAGAUUGAUUUACCUUUCGCUUAAAGGAAAAUGCAAGUUCCCCAACAUUGAUAAACAGAAAAAGUACUUUGAAGAAACUGGAACAAAGAAUCACCAAAUAAUAGCAAAAACUCAUAACAGUAAACUCAACAACUUAUAUGAAUCAACGAUCAGCAAAAACACAAAAAUAAUCCUUUUUAUUACUUGCACUGGUCGCACAAUUUUAGAUUCACAGUGAAACCCACAAAUCAAUCUUUUUACCUAACCCAAAACAGAACCACAGUAGAGCAACAAAAAUACAGCUAAUAAAACGAUAAAACCCUAAUAUCCAAAAUUGAUAUAACUGCAACCCACAUCCACAAGCAUGAAAAUGACAGUCUUUAAACAAGUGAAAGUGAAAUAAAGUCAAAAAGGGGUAAGUGGAAUUUACUUGCUGGGGUUGAUCGAAUAUGAGCCAAAAAUAGAAAGAAAAACCAAAAUUAAUCGAAAAGCCAAAAAAGGAGCAAAGUAUACUUAGGGGUCGCCGGAGAAGGGUCGUCGGAGGGGGAGGGGGUCGCCGGAGGAGGGGUCGACCGGGGUAGGGGAGAGGGGGCCUGGGAGCUGAGGAGGGGGGCUUGAUGAAAUUGACAUUAGAGAGGAGAGAGAAGAGAGAGA